Molecule: long non-coding RNA, 1542 nt
Organism: Leopardus geoffroyi (Geoffroy's cat)
Lineage: Eukaryota; Metazoa; Chordata; Mammalia; Carnivora; Felidae
Exons: 3
Source: RefSeq, a predicted model, not a curated record
CUCCCACAGCUCCAGGAAAGCGCUACUUAGCAAGAGGAGGUCUUGGGUUUAGAAGCCUAACUGCAUCAUUUAUCAGCUGCGUGACAUGACCUCCGGCGAGUUAUUUAAUAUCACUCCGCCUGGGUUCUCCCACCUUUGAGGUCAUGUAGUAACAGUGCCUGAUGUACCUCUUGGUGUUUUAAGGGAGGAUUCAAUGAGAUCAUGCAUGUAAACCUCACAGCAUGUCUAAGUUCUCAGUAAAUGCUGGUUAAGUUUAUUAUUGCCGUUUUGCUAUUUUCGGUAUGGUUACAACUCCCUGCCCUCCUCCUCCGCCCACGUUCCCACUCCUCCCCGCCCCCCCCCCCCCCAACAGUUCUUUGGCUUGCUCUCAACGUCUCCCUUUCGUCAGAGGGUGGAAACCUAAGAUAUGGCCGUCUAAGGGCCGUUGUGACAGUUUUAAUCAUGAACAGUUAUUACAGCAGCCAGCCAGCACAGGGAGUAAAAAGAACGAACCCCUUGGUGGGUGGUGACUAGGGGAUCGCUAACUGAUUUGGGAAAAACAUGAAUCUUGGUUUUCUUAAGAAUCCUUGCCACCUGCUUUGGGAUUCUCCUUGCCUGGUUCAUUCUGAAAUGAGGUGGUUGGAAGCCUUACGUCAAGAGGAAUGGGGCCACCGUGACCAGAGUGCCCACCUUUGAAUUGCAGGCAACAAGGUGAACCUCUUUCCAGCAUGAAAUGUUCUAUGAAGACCUUUGUAUGGAAGACCUGGCCUCAUUUACCAGGCACCCACUGAGGGACAUUCGAGUUACAUCCAGUUUGAGAUGGAGAAACAUGGGGCAGAGUCGUGACACAGCCCGUAAGGAGAAAGCCGGGAUUGAUCUCCCAUCUGUUUGACUCAGGACUUUUUCAUUUAGAAUAGGAAAUAUUAAUAUUAAAAUUGUUAUAUUAAAUAGUAAAGCUGGAGAACGCUCCAGAUCCCCUAAGCCAAUCCCCUCGCCUGACAAGGCCCAGAGUGGAAGGGACUUGCCCAAGGACAUACAGCAGGAUGGUGACAGAGCAGAGCCGGGGCUCCAGGCUCCUGAUGGCCACUCAGGAGCCAGAUGCCCGGUGCCCAGGGGUAAGGAGGCCUCUCCCAUUGGGAGGAGCCGGGGAGCUUAUGGGGGUGUGAGCAUCUCUGCAGCCCCGACCCAGGCCAGGUGCCAGGAGAAGCCACUGUUGUCACUGGCCACUGCAAUUACUCCUUUUGUCCAUAAUUCUACGUGCGGGUCUGCUCCCAACUCCUGCCUGGAUUUUCCUCCCUGCAGCUGCCCUCAGUGCCAAGGAAGGGUGACCAAAAGUGUCUGCUCUGGCUGCUGAGUCAACCGGUUCUGCAUUUCAGGCCCUGAACUACCCCCGCCCCUGCCCACCCCCACCCCCCCACCCCCCAGCGGCUCACGCCUUCCCAGUCUUGUUUUCAGGCUAGUUUUUUGUAAGGAUAUGUUUUAUUUAACCCAACAUAUGUAAAAAAAAAAAAGUGUGAUUUCAACAUACAGCCAAUACAAAUAAAGUGUUAACAGGGCAUUUUA